Molecule: unclassified non-coding RNA, 342 nt
Filed under: Hevea brasiliensis (rubber tree)
Lineage: Eukaryota; Viridiplantae; Streptophyta; Magnoliopsida; Malpighiales; Euphorbiaceae
Source: RNAcentral
AUCAUGUUAUACCUUACAGAGGGGCAAGGUGUGACAAGUUCCUCAUGGAUAUACACGAUCAUUUACUACAAAAAUCAAUAUUACUUUAAUUUGUUGGGGAAACUAUGUACUAUUAGUUGCUAUAUAAAUGAGAGCUUGGUAAACAGAUGUUUAAUACUAAAAUGACACCAACAUAUGCCACUCUCCAACUAGCUCACUUUAUAAAGGCUCUCCUUACAAAAUAAAUCAUGCAUAGGCUCACAACCUUGAGGCAGCUCAAAUGUUGUGGUGGAACAGUAUUGUGGUGGAAUAUCAAUUGAGGAUGUUGAUUAUAGUACCAAAUCUGGGAAAGGCUCUUUACAG